AUGCUUUUCUUUGUACAAGAGGAUGACCUCCUGGUAUACGUCCUGGAUGGACUUGUUGUGCAUGCGGUACAUGUUGAGGAUGGCGAGGAAGGCCUUGUAGACGUGGUCCUGGGCCUGGAACCUGGCCUUGAUCUUGUUGACGAAGUUGAUGGCCUCCAUGAAGUCGACGGGCUGCUUCUUGUCGCCGGCGGCGCCGCCGUCGAUGUCCUGCAGCUUGAUGGCGAAGCCCUUGGGCAGGAAGGCGUUGAAGCCGAGGAUGAGCUCCGGGUAGCCGCUGAAGAGCGUCUUCACCCGGAUGAUGACGCCCGCCGUGUCGAUCCUGCGAGCAUCACAAAGGCAGACGGGAAGGGGGAAAACUUAAAUCGACGAAUCCCGGCCGGAAUCCCCGCCGGAAUGGAGCGAUUGAGAUGCGUGGAGGGAUGGAGGGGAGGGAGAUGGGGACGGAUGCAGACCUGGCGCUCUUGA
This 465-nucleotide ribosomal RNA is filed under the name Triticum aestivum (bread wheat). Its description in RNAcentral is "partial small subunit ribosomal RNA". Lineage: Eukaryota; Viridiplantae; Streptophyta; Magnoliopsida; Poales; Poaceae. The record is from RNAcentral.